This 677-nucleotide long non-coding RNA is filed under the name Salmo salar (Atlantic salmon). RNAcentral describes it as "lncRNA (ENSSSAG00000117580.1)". Lineage: Eukaryota; Metazoa; Chordata; Actinopteri; Salmoniformes; Salmonidae. The record is from RNAcentral.
GUGUGUUGUUACUGCUGGGACGUUACUGUCUGGUGUGUUGUUACUGCUGGGACAUUACUGUCUGGUGUGUUGUUACUGCUGGGACAUUACUGUCUGGUGUGUUGUUACUGCUGGGACAUUACUGUCUGGUGUGUUGUACUGCUGGGACGUUACUGUCUGGUGUGUUGUUACUGCUGGGACGUUACUGUCUGGUGUGUUGUUACUGCUGGGACAUUACUGUCUGGUGUGUUGUUACUCACUGCUGGGACAUUACUGUCUGGUGUGUUGUUACUGCUGGGACAUUACUGUCUGGUGUGUUGUUACUGCUGGGACGUUACUGUCUGGUGUGUUGUUACUCACUGCUGGGACAUUACUGUCUGGUGUGUUGUUACUCACUGCUGGGACAUUACUGUCUGGUGUGUUGUUACUCACUGCUGGGACAUUACUGUCUGGUGUGUUGUUACUCACUGCUGGGACGUUACUGUCUGGUGUGUUGUUACUGCUGGGACAUUACUGUCUGGUGUGUUGUUACUGCUGGGACAUUACUGUCUGGUGUGUUGUUACUCACUGCUGGGACAUUACUGUCUGGUGUGUUGUUACUGCUGGGACGUUACUGUCUGGUGUGUUGUUACUGCUGGGACAUUACUGUCUGGUGUGUUACUCACUGCUGGGACAUUACUGUCUGGUGUGUUGUUACU